UGCAACUCGACUCCAUGAAGCUGGAUUCGCUAGUAAUCGCGCAUCAGCCAUGGCGCGGUGAAUACGUUCCCGGGCCUUGUACACACCGCCCGUCAAGCCAUGGAAGCCGGGAGUGCCUGAAGUGUGCAACCGCAAGGAGCGCCCUAAGGUAAAACUGGUGACUGGGGCUAAGUCGUAACAAGGUAGC
This 187-nucleotide ribosomal RNA is filed under the name uncultured bacterium. Its description in RNAcentral is "partial 16S ribosomal RNA". It matches the Rfam family "Bacterial small subunit ribosomal RNA", at positions 1306 to 1500 of the family's 1533-position model. The record is from RNAcentral.